CCUACGGGUGGCAGCAGUGAGGAAUAUUGGUCAAUGGACGCAAGUCUGAACCAGCCAUGCCGCGUGCAGGAAGACGGCUCUAUGAGUUGUAAACUGCUUUUGUACGAGGGUAAACGCAGAUACGUGUAUCUGUCUGAAAGUAUCGUACGAAUAAGGAUCGACUAACUCCGUUCCAGCAGCCGCGGUAAUACGGAGGAUUCAAGCGUUAUCCGGAUUGAUUGGGUUUAAAGGGUGCGUAGGCGGUCGGGUAAGUUAGAGGUGAAAUCCCGAGGCUCAACUUCGGAAUUGCAUCUGAUACUGUUAGGCUAGAGAGUAGUAGCGGUAGGCAGAAUGCAUGGUGUAGCGGUGAAAUGCUUAGAGAUCAUACAGAACACCGAUGGCGAAGGCAGCUUACCAGGCUACUUCUGACGUUGAGGCACGAAAGCGUGGGGAGCAAACAGGAUUAGAUACCCUGGUAGUC
Molecule: ribosomal RNA, 460 nt
Filed under: uncultured bacterium
Lineage: Bacteria
Description: partial 16S ribosomal RNA
Rfam family: Bacterial small subunit ribosomal RNA
Source: RNAcentral